This 383-nucleotide ribosomal RNA is filed under the name uncultured eukaryote. RNAcentral's name for it is "SSU rRNA". It matches the Rfam family "Eukaryotic small subunit ribosomal RNA", at positions 587 to 972 of the family's 1831-position model. The record is from RNAcentral.
AGCUCCAAUAGCGUAUAUUAAAGUUGUUGUGGUUAAAAAGCUCGUAGUUGGAUCUCGGCGGUCAGAGAGCGGUUCACUUGCUAGUGCUACUGCCCUAUUGACCGUAGUUUUGCCAGAGGUCUCAGGGUGCUCUUAAUCGAGUGUCUUGUGAUGCUGGCAGGUUUACUUUGAAAAAAUUAGAGUGCUCAAAGCAGGCUUUUACGCCUGAAUAUUCGUGCAUGGAAUAAUAGAAUAGGAAGUCGUUUCUAUUUUGUUGGUUUUCGGAAAUCGACUUAAUGAUUAAUAGGGACAGUCGGGGGCAUUUGUAUUCAAACGACAGAGGUGAAAUUCUUGGACCGUUUGAAGACAAACUACUGCGAAAGCAUUUGCCAAGAAUGUUUUCA